RNAcentral lists this ribosomal RNA (455 nucleotides) under uncultured bacterium. RNAcentral's name for it is "bacterial SSU rRNA". It matches the Rfam family "Bacterial small subunit ribosomal RNA", at positions 340 to 786 of the family's 1533-position model. The record is from RNAcentral.
UACGGAAGGCAGCAGUGGGGAAUAUUGCACAAUGGGCGCAAGCCUGAUGCAGCCAUGCCGCGUGUAUGAAAAAGGCCUUCGGGUUGUAAAGUACUUUCAGUCGUGAGGAAGGUGUUAAGGUUAAUAACCUUAGCAAUUGACGUUAGCGACAGAAGAAGCACCGGCUAACUCCGUGCCAGCAGCCGCGGUAAUACGGAGGGUGCGAGCGUUAAUCGGAAUUACUGGGCGUAAAGGGCACGCAGGCGGUUAAUUAAGUUGGAUGUGAAAUCCCCGGGCUUAACCUGGGAAUGGCAUUCAAGACUGGUUAGCUAGAGUCUUGUAGAGGGGGUUAGAAUUCCAUGUGUAGCGGUGAAAUGCGUAGAGAUGUGGAGGAAUACCGGUGGCGAAGGCGGCCCCUGGACAAAGACUGACGCUCAUGUGCGAAAGCGUGGGGAGCAAACGAGGGAUUAGAUACC